GACGAACGCUGGCGGCGCGCCUAACACAUGCAAGUCGAACGGAGUCAAGAGGAGCUUGCUUUUCUUGACUUAGUGGCGAACGGGUGAGUAACGCAUGAGUAACCUGCCCUGGAGUGGGGGACAACAGUUGGAAACGACUGCUAAUACCGCAUAAGCCCACGGAUCCGCAUGGAUCUGCGGGAAAAGGAUUUAUUCGCUUCAGGAUGGACUCGCGUCCAAUUAGCUAGUUGGUGAGGUAACGGCCCACCAAGGCGACGAUUGGUAGCCGGACUGAGAGGUUGAACGGCCACAUUGGGACUGAGACACGGCCCAGACUCCUACGGGAGGCAGCAGUGGGGGAUAUUGCACAAUGGGGGAAACCCUGAUGCAGCGACGCCGCGUGGAGGAAGAAGGUUUUCGGAUUGUAAACUCCUGUCGUUAGGGACGAUAAUGACGGUACCUAACAAGAAAGCACCGGCUAACUACGUG
This 468-nucleotide ribosomal RNA is filed under the name uncultured bacterium. Its description in RNAcentral is "partial 16S ribosomal RNA". It matches the Rfam family "Bacterial small subunit ribosomal RNA", at positions 28 to 507 of the family's 1533-position model. The record is from RNAcentral.